AUUGAGGCAAAAGGCAGCAGUACCACAGGAUCAUUCUGAGGGCCCAACAGUUUCCAUAGAUCCUACUGAGGCAUAUCGAGAUGAUGCAGAUACUAGUUUUGACAUAGAUAUAGAGGAGCAGAGAGAGGUAUAGAUUCUAGUAUGCAGGGCGAGAGGACACAUAAUACUUCCUCUUCAGCCCUAACAUCGAUCAUAGAGCCAGUUAGUGGAUCUCUAGAGCUUACUCACCCAUCCCC
RNAcentral lists this long non-coding RNA (236 nucleotides) under Capsicum annuum. RNAcentral's name for it is "long non-coding RNA (CANN_LNC006528)". The record is from RNAcentral. Lineage: Eukaryota; Viridiplantae; Streptophyta; Magnoliopsida; Solanales; Solanaceae.